ACUAAAAUACUCAAGAUGAGCCAGUGUGUAUAUUUGUGAGUAAGUUACAGCAAUGAAACUUCCAAAUAUUUUGGUGGGAAUUUCUGAAAAACAAAGACGUUCUUUAUAAAUCAGAGUUCAGUGAUCAAAAUCAACAAAAUAACACGACGGAUACAAUGGUAUAAUCUUUAGGAAAAAAAUCUAUAGACUGUAUACAAAAUUUGUCAUUCAUGUUCUAAUUCAGAAUCAAACACUUCAUUCAUCAUGUCCCAUUAGACUCCUUUAAUCCAGGUCAAUCCCUCAGUUUUCCUUUCUUUCAUAACCUUGACAGAUUAGUUACAUGACAGCAGGACCCUCCAUCUGGGUGUUCCUGGUGUUUCCUCCCGAUGGCAGGACUUCCUGGGAGAAUUGACUUGAAAUAUAUUUUGAAGAAUAAGGAGAAUUAUUGAGAUGAAGACUGACAGGAAGGAAUGAUGAAUGGAAGAAGCUCACUUGCUUGGAGGGGAGAAAGUGUUCUGUGGAAUCAACUAACCACCCUGAGUGGCCUUUGCUGCUGCCUGGACACAUCAGGCUCUCUCACCCUCUCAGCUCUGCUCUCUCUGUGCUCCCUCUGCCUAGUACACUGACUCCACUUCCUCCCUACUCUCCUUCCUGAAUAAUUUCCAAUUAGCCUUCAGAACCCAAAUGGAACUGUUUCCCUGCUCUGGUUGCCAGAGUUCAGUAAAGAGCACAUGUUUAGAGUCCAACAGGUCCAAGUUCAAAUCCUGCCCUUGCCACUUCAGCAAAUGAACCAUCUUAGGCAAAUUGUCCAACUUCUCUGAGACCCACUUCCUUUCUUGUUCAAAUAAGAGGUUAUAUCAGAUGCCCUCCACUUUUCACAAUCCAUAUGAUUUUAGCAGAUGGAGCCUCUGGGAUGUAAUUAUGUGAUUAGUACCCUUUUGAAAAUGCUCCCAAAGACCUGUCUUGCUCCUUUUUUUCCUCCACAUAUAAACUGAGCUAGAGGGUGCCAUGUAUGAACUAGGAAACACAUCCUCAUCAGACUCCAGAUCUAUGGGUACCUUGAUCUUGGACUUCCCAGCAUCCAGAACCAUGAGAAAUGAAGGUUAUUUAUAAGCUACCCUGUCUACAAUAUUUUGUUAAAGCAGCCUGAAUGGAUACCCUAACUGUCCAUCAUGGCCAUAGUUUGGACAGAUGCCCUUUGUAAGACCCAUGACCCCUCAGGUGGUCCUCAUGAGUCCUAAGAGUUUCCAGCCCAACUUCUCCUGCUUUCUCUUCUAGGUUUCCAUACUUAUGUGUGUCAAUAAAAUAAAGACAGAAGGCUCAUCUCUUUCACCAUUUCCAAAAGAGGAAUUCAGACACACUCAUUGUUUUUUAGUUUAGGGAACCCACUGUGGGUUUGAGGGCCUGCCCCUGACCUGGUGUUCUGCCCACCUGGGGUCAGUCCAAUGGUCUCUUUGUACAGUGCUGCCUCUCAAAGCCCACGUGUGCUGCCACUCAGGCUUCAUCCAUCCCAAUGCCCACCUUCCCAUGGGAGCUGAGUCAGGCAUUACAGCUGGAUGAGAGGGUGGCAUUUGUGGAGAGUAGGGUGAAGGGGUUCUGGGGUCAUCAAAGUGGCUUCUGUGCAAGUAGUUUGUCCACCCAAACCCCGAGUCCAUGUGGAUGACCAACCCCAGCCUGCCUUCUGUCUCUCAUCCCCUUUGUCUCUGGUCUUUUGUUCCCCUCCCAUAGCCUAUCUACACACUCCUGAAAUCACACAUGUGACAUUGUCGCCACCAAUAAUUGCACCUCCUGUUAGAUCUUAUCUCAGGCAUCCAGGUGUCUGAGCACUGUCCCAUGGCCUCCACCUCACUCUCCUCUUCUCACCCCAGCAAUUCUCUGGUGCUAUAGAGCACCAAUGCUUUCUCAUCAUCAAUCAUCCUCCAUGUUCCUGCCCCCUGUCCUCAUUGUUCUCUGUCCUGCCACUAACCACUGUAUUCCAGCCACACUGGUGUCUCUUACAUCCUGGAGAACAUGUAGCUUUUCCCACUUUAAGGCCUUUGUCCUCAAUGUCUCCUCUGCUGGGAAUGUUCUCCCUGUUUGUUUUAUCCUUGGUAAAAACAAUUUUGAAUUAUGAAUCACUAAUUAAUCAGUAAUCGACUAACGAAUUAAUAAUCAUAAAUUGUUAGUUCAUCUGUUAUUCACUAAUGUUAUAUUUGUAAAGUGCAUGUCAUGCUUAAAGAACAACAAUUACCUUCCCUCAUGGACCUGGCUAUUGUUUCAGUCAUUGACCAUGACCUGCAUGAAUUCCUUGCUCAUCCCAGCUUCUCUCCUUCCCCAUCUGAGAUAACAAGUGGCCAAAAAAGCCCAAGAGAAAGAGUCCUAGGUGUCCCUAACUUUCAUUUUAGGUGACCAGCUCUAUAAGCAACAGGACAUUUUGUCUGGAGCUCAUUUCAACAUACCCUUCCCUCACGUUUCCUGUCAAAUUUCACAAUUCUUGAUAUUGCAAUCACAGCGGAAGAUAGAACCACCUUUUAUUCAACCACCUUUUAUUUGGUCUUUUAUUUAAAGACCAAAGAGGAAAAAAAAAGUUACUUCUCUUCUGAAAUUAAUCUUAAUCUUUUUGUGUGUGAUACUUUUUUCUAAAAUAUGUUUCUGUGUUACCCUUAUAUUAAAAAUUACAUAAGGCAAAAAUCCUGUUCAAAUGUUAAGAAAGGAUGGUGUGAACUGCAUUAAGCAUGGCAGAUCAGCUAUAGGUUCUUUCCUCCCUCUCUUCUAGGACUCUGUUAAAAUUACUGCAAAGGAGGUUUUUAAAAAAUGUCUAUGUCUAAAUUGAAUAGGCGAGAACAUCAAGUGAGAAAGAUUUUCACACUAUUUUGGUUGAUGGUGGGUCUGUCGCUCCUAUUGGUGUCACAGAGGAAAGCUCAACAGAGGAGGAGUCCCCUGGGAACCAGCAAAUCCUCCUCACACCGCAGGCAGGCUGAGUCAGGUGCGCUAUGCCAUGCCCUGGGCAAAGGAUGCGAAUGGGACAUCUUUGACCCCUGUGCUCCAGCCACAUUGAUGUCUGGAUGUCCAUGUAUGGAGUGGCCAGGCAUUCCCCUCUGUCCUCAUGAAGUUAAGCAACUACCCUCCUACCUCUCUGAGACCAGAAGUUUAUUCUCAGAAUCACAGUGAACAGGAGUGAGAGGGGUGGAUAUAAGUUGAAAUCAAGGGAAUCCAGUGAAAAUCUGCACAUCAGAGCCUCCCGGUCCUCUUUCUUAACACUCUGCUUUAGGAGGCAGGUUGCCAGCCAAAAAACUUACUAUCCUCCCCACUCCGCAGAAGGUGGUUCUCUUGAGGAGAGCCCACAGUGGAGAAAUAUAAUAGAAUGUGAAUAAAAAAUGUCUCCAUUCUCUAAGAAGUAACAAAAGUCCUAGAAGAUGAAAUUCAAAUGGUGCAAAAGGGGAAAUCAACCUGGAUUCUGUGUGUGUGGUAUUCCCUGUGAUCAGAAAUGAAGACGACAGAUAUUAUGAAGUCAAUGACAGUAGCAUUAUUAAUUCCUGAAUGAAGAGAUUUCUGAGGUGAAGCAGAUCUUGAUGGAGCAAGAGGUUAACAUCUGAGAUUGUGUGGGAGUUCUCAGCUGUUAUUCUUGCAUGAGAAAAUUUCAGGCAAGACAUAGGACUAAGUAAAAGUAUAACAAAGUUUAUUAGAAGGGAAAAGAGAAGGGAGGAAAGAUGCUCUCAAGGGAGAGCGUGGAUUCUCUCAGUAAGGAGAGUGCCAAUGGGCUCUUUGUCUCACUUUUUUUUGGGGGGGGGUGUCUUGGAGAAGUUUCUCAAGAGUCCUGCCUGGGUAUUGCCUCUCAACUUUUGACUGACAGUAGGAUCACAUCAUAUUUUUUAAGUACCUACUGUGCAUGGUCUUACCCAGGGUAUCCAAGUGAAACCCAUGGGGGAAAAGUUAUUAUUGUAAUUGCUUAAUCUAAAUGCAACCCUGAGUCACCUUGGCCAGUGCUGACAAGUUCUAAUUGGAAAAGGCUUUUUUACAGAUUUUAUGGCUUUGAGAAAAGUUAUAAAAGUUUCCUUUCCAAAAACAAAACAAAACAAAACAGAAAAGUCCCAUUUCAUGGUAACUUGUGUUCUUAUCGGGAGGGAGGAGUCUUAAAUUCCUCUGUCCUUGCAAACAUAAUCCAAAAGAUAAUGGGUUGUUUGUAAAGAAAUGUAAUAUCCUAUUAACUUAAGCCAGAGCAGGCCUAACUGGCCUUAGGUAAAUAGCUUUUAAAAAGAAGACACAAGGAUUAGCCAAAUUAUAUAUUUUUUUAAAGAGUGAGAGAGAAAAUUUUAAUAUUUAUUUUUUAGUAUUUGGCGGACACAACAUCUUCAUUUGUAUGUGGUGCUGAGGAUCGAACCCGGGCCGCAUGCAUGCCAGGUGAAGGAGUGAUGAGGGCUCUGCAGUCCAGGGACCUCCCCCAUCUCCUGCUCAACUCUUCCCUGACCACACCUACAUGUUGUCUACACAUACAGCAUUUGUGUCUGCAACCUCCACGCCCCCAUCCUUACAGCUGUAGAUGACUCACAGAAAAUGGGUGCUCCUGUUGUAGAGGGGCACUCCUGCCUGCUGCAGGAUGUGGAGAAGCCAAAGGAAGAAAUCCCUAGGAAGCUAGAGGAGCUGUGGUCCUAGCAGCUGCCCCACGCCAACAGGAUGAGUCAGCAAAUCAAGGAAAAUGUGCAUCCACUGAAGAAAGUUUGGGCCUCCAUCAGUCUUUAGAGAGGUGCCUCAAGCCAAUUUCUCCUGUGGCCAUCCCUGACUAGAAACAUACUAGGAAGGGAAAAUGUAGUUCAGAUUUGCCAAGUUGACUCAUAAAACCAUCACAGAGAAUGCCACUAUUAUUCUUGCAAUAAGGCACCAAACUAAGUUGAUGAAUUAUGACUAAGAAAGUGUUGGAGAGUAGCAAAAGCAUAGAAUUGAAUGGGUUGACUGGAUGAUACCAGCUCUGGAGAGAAACCUCCUGAGAUAAUAACUUUUGAAGCCUCAGAGUUGAAUCUGAAUUUUAAUUUAAGACAAUAAAAAUGCAGAAAAGCCAAUACUACUUUGAAAAAUUGUGUCCAUUGGCUUGAGAAAGAUGUGAAGAAAGUUACCAUAUGUGUGGGCACAUGGGAGAAAAAUCACUCAUGAAAAAUAAAAACCUUGCUGAUGAUGUC
Molecule: non-coding RNA, 5132 nt
Organism: Ictidomys tridecemlineatus (thirteen-lined ground squirrel)
Lineage: Eukaryota; Metazoa; Chordata; Mammalia; Rodentia; Sciuridae
Source: RefSeq, a predicted model, not a curated record